GGGUCAAGUUUGAUGCAAUGAUCACUGGGAGGGUGUCAUUAGGUCCUAGGAAUGCAUACUUGAGUGCGAUCGAAAAUGGCUUUAAUUCUAGUAUAGGUGGUGAUUCUAAUGACGGAACUGCAGGUGUAAUGGCUAAUGCGGGCAAUGGCUCGUACUUGAUUGUCCAAGGGAGAGUAGUUUCAACAUUUGAUGUAUCAACUAGAGUGUUUAUUUCUUCAUUACCUCCCUCCAUAUCACA
Molecule: long non-coding RNA, 238 nt
Filed under: Elaeis guineensis (African oil palm)
Lineage: Eukaryota; Viridiplantae; Streptophyta; Magnoliopsida; Arecales; Arecaceae
Description: long non-coding RNA (EGUI_LNC082141)
Source: RNAcentral